RNAcentral lists this ribosomal RNA (467 nucleotides) under uncultured bacterium. Its description in RNAcentral is "partial 16S ribosomal RNA". It matches the Rfam family "Bacterial small subunit ribosomal RNA", at positions 29 to 507 of the family's 1533-position model. The record is from RNAcentral.
ACGAACGCUGGCGGCGUGCUUAACACCUGCAAGUCGAACGGAAAGGCCCCGCUUUUGUGGGGUGCUCGAGUGGCGAACGGGUGAGUAACACGUGAGUAACCUGCCCUUGACUUUGGGAUAACUUCAGGAAACCGGGGCUAAUACCGGAUAGGAGCUCCCGCUGCAUGGUGGGGGUUGGAAAGUUUCGGCGGUUGGGGAUGGACUCGCGGCUUAUCAGCUUGUUGGUGGGGUAGUGGCUUACCAAGGCUUUGACGGGUAGCCGGCCUGAGAGGGUGACCGGCCACAUUGGGACUGAGAUACGGCCCAGACUCCUACGGGAGGCAGCAGUGGGGAAUAUUGCACAAUGGGCGGAAGCCUGAUGCAGCAACGCCGCGUGCGGGAUGACGGCCUUCGGGUUGUAAACCGCUUUCGCCUGUGACGAAGCGUGAGUGACGGUAAUGGGUAAAGAAGCACCGGCUAACUACGUG